Unclassified non-coding RNA from Cavia porcellus (domestic guinea pig), 105 nucleotides. It matches the Rfam family "Y RNA". Rfam says of the family: Y RNAs are components of the Ro ribonucleoprotein particle (Ro RNP), in association with Ro60 and La proteins. The Y RNAs and Ro60 and La proteins are well conserved, but the function of the Ro RNP is not known. In humans the RNA component can be one of four small RNAs -- hY1, hY3, hY4 and hY5. The record is from Ensembl. Lineage: Eukaryota; Metazoa; Chordata; Mammalia; Rodentia; Caviidae.
GGUAAAUAGUGAGUUUAAAGUGGUGUUUACAACUAAUUGACCACAACCAGUUACAGAUUUCUUUAUUCCUUCUCCACUGCCACUGCUUCACUUGACUAGCCUAAA